GGAAAAGGCGGUGGAGGAAAAGGCGGUGGAGGUCAAGGUAGCGGCGGUGGAGGUCAAGGUAGCGGCGGUGGAGGUCAAAGUCGUGGCGGUGGAGGUCGAGGUCGUUAGUAAGGAAGACAAGAACAAAAUACUGAAGGAGGAAAUAUGAAGCAAAAUACGGCGUGGUUAAUUUUCUCCUUAUUUUGAUGAUCAAUAAAAAUGUAAAUUAAAACUAAUCUGUAUAAUGUUUCUUUCGAUUAAACUGUUUUAUAUUCCACAA
Long non-coding RNA from Centruroides sculpturatus (bark scorpion), 259 nucleotides. RefSeq lists it as uncharacterized. The transcript has 4 exons. Lineage: Eukaryota; Metazoa; Arthropoda; Arachnida; Scorpiones; Buthidae. The record is from RefSeq and is a predicted model, not a curated record.